Molecule: non-coding RNA, 81 nt
Organism: Amoeboaphelidium occidentale
Lineage: Eukaryota; Fungi; Aphelidiomycota; Aphelidea
Source: the annotation of a GenBank genome assembly
GGCGACUUGACCGAGUGGUUAAGGUGUUGUGUUAAGGUCGCAAUCUCGAAAGAGGCGUGAGUUCGAACCUCACAGUCGUCA